Molecule: ribosomal RNA, 468 nt
Filed under: uncultured bacterium
Lineage: Bacteria
Description: partial 16S ribosomal RNA
Rfam family: Bacterial small subunit ribosomal RNA
Source: RNAcentral
GACGAACGCUGGCGGCGUGCUUAACACAUGCAAGUCGAACGGAAAGGCCCUGCUUUUGUGGGGUGCUCGAGUGGCGAACGGGUGAGUAACACGUGAGUAACCUGCCCUUGACUUUGGGAUAACUUCAGGAAACUGGGGCUAAUACCGGAUAGGAGCUCCUGCUGCAUGGUGGGGGUUGGAAAGUUUCGGCGGUUGGGGAUGGACUCGCGGCUUAUCAGCUUGUUGGUGGGGUAGUGGCUUACCAAGGCUUUGACGGGUAGCCGGCCUGAGAGGGUGACCGGCCACAUUGGGACUGAGAUAAGGCCCAGACUCCUACGGGAGGCAGGAGUGGAGAAUAUUGCACAAUGGGCGGGAGCCAGAUGCAGCAACGCCGCGUGCGGGAUGACGGCCUUCGGGUUGUAAACCGCUUUCGCCUGUGACGAAGCGUGAGUGACGGUAAUGGGUAAAGAAGCACCGGCUAACUACGUG